RNAcentral lists this long non-coding RNA (638 nucleotides) under Manacus vitellinus (golden-collared manakin). Its description in RNAcentral is "lncRNA (ENSMVIG00005017333.1)". Lineage: Eukaryota; Metazoa; Chordata; Aves; Passeriformes; Pipridae. The record is from RNAcentral.
CACUAGGACAGCUGCCUGUUGAUACAGCAUUAUAACUUCAUCUUCUUUUUUUUUCUUAAUUGACAUUCAGAUCACUGUAAGACACUGGAAAGGUGGUAAUAGCAGAUGGUCAGUGGGCGACGUGUGACGGGAAUCUGAAAAACUUUUGCCACUCCACUGAAGGAUAAGGGCAGAGCAAUGAUCAGCAAGGUCCACCUGCACUCUGCUAGCAAUCUAUGCUGAACUAGCAGGUGUUUCUCCUAAGGACCACGGAGCAGCUGACCCCCUCCAGGUAGCUCAUAAGAGAGGAGAGGAGAGCAGACCAGACCACACCACCUCCACGUGGGAAAGCAAGCAGGAGUGCAGCAGCUUUAGGUGAUAACAGACUUCCCUUCUAGCCCUGAAUUGAGGUAAGUGCUGCCGAUGUUUUGGGCUACAGUUGAGGGAGAUCUGCUUGCUUGAUUUACAGUAAUAUGCUGUAGCCUGUUUACUGUGUUUGUGUUUAAUUGUCAUAUGUAAUGGUGCCUCAAAGGAGUUGUGUUUUGAGAUUAUUGUCUUUGUGAUCUGAGAUAUUUUGCAGAAGUUCAGUCUUCUGUUUGUGUGUUUGGAAUCUGUUCUUUAAUUAGCUGCCUUUCCCCAGGGUGACUGACCAAAACAGA